UGGGGAAUAUUGGACAAUGGGCGAAAGCCUGAUCCAGCCAUGCCGCGUGUGUGAAGAAGGUCUUCGGAUUGUAAAGCACUUUAAGUUGGGAGGAAGGGCAGUAAGCGAAUACCUUGCUGUUUUGACGUUACCGACAGAAUAAGCACCGGCUAACUCUGUGCCAGCAGCCGCGGGAAUACAGAGGGUGCAAGCGUUAAUCGGAAUUACUGGGCGUAAAGCGCGCGUAGGUGGUUCGUUAAGUUGAAUGUGAAAGCCCCGGGCUCAACCUGGGAACUGCAUCCAAAACUGGCGAGCUAGAGUAGGGCAGAGGGUGGUGGAAUUUCCUGUGUAGCGGUGAAAUGCGUAGAUAUAGGAAGGAACACCAGUGGCGAAGGCGACCACCUGGGCUCAUACUGACACUGAGGUGCGAAAGCGUGGGGAGCAAACAGG
RNAcentral lists this ribosomal RNA (429 nucleotides) under Pseudomonadota bacterium. RNAcentral's name for it is "Proteobacteria bacterium partial 16S ribosomal RNA". It matches the Rfam family "Bacterial small subunit ribosomal RNA", at positions 355 to 776 of the family's 1533-position model. The record is from RNAcentral. Lineage: Bacteria; Pseudomonadati; Pseudomonadota.